GAGACCUGAUCCUAGAUCAGAGCUGCAUAUUAUGCUCCACAGAGGUUACCAUGGUGAUCAGACUGAGGCAACUGUUUAAGAAUGGGAGAUGGAUAUGACUGUUCACUAGAUGUUUUCUAUUGAUCCAUUAUUUAGGGAUCUAGAACGGUCCGGAUAGGAGGGAGAUGAAAUAUGUCAUGCUUGUGUUUUCUCAUUGGCCCUAAAUGAACGAAGCUCUUCCCACAUACAGUACCAGUCAAAAGUUUGGACACACCUACCCAUUCAAGGUUGUUGUUUUAAACUAUUUUCUACAUUGUAGAAUAAUAAAGAAUCAAAUCAAACUUCAUUUGUCACAUGCGCUGAAAACAAGUGCAGACCUGGCCAUCAAAUGCUUACUUUACAAGCCCUUAACCAACAGUGCAGUUCAAGAAGAUGAACUAAAGUAAAAAUGUGUAAAAAAGUAACACAAAAACAUAACAGUAACGAGGCUAUAUACAGGGGUACCAGUACCGAGUCAGUGUGGAGGCUAUAUACAGGGGGUACCGGUACCGAGUCAGUGUGGAGGCUAUAUAAAGGGGGUACCGGUACCAAGUCAGUGUGGAGGCUAUAUACAGGGGGUACCAGUACAGAGUCAGUGUGGAGGCUAUAUACAGGGGGUACCAGUACCGAGUCAGUGUGGAGGCUAUAUAAAGGGGGUACCAGUACCGAGUCAGUGUGGAGGCUAUAUAAAGGGGGUACCAGUACCGAGUCAGUGUGGAGGUUAGAGGUCAUUUGUACAUGUAGGUCGGGGUGAAGUGACUAUGCAUAGAUAAUAAACAGCGAGUAGCAGCAGUGUACAAAACAAAUGAGGGGGGGGGGUCAAUGUAAUAGAUGGGUGGCCUCUGUACUACCCUCUGUAGCGCCUUACGGUCAGAUGCCGAGCAGUUGCCAUACCAGGCGGUGAUGCAACAGUUCAGGAUGCUCUCGAUGGUGCAGCUGUAGAACCUUUUGAGGAUCUGAGGACCCAUGCCAAAUCUUAUCAGUCUCCUGAG
Molecule: long non-coding RNA, 1010 nt
Organism: Oncorhynchus tshawytscha (Chinook salmon)
Lineage: Eukaryota; Metazoa; Chordata; Actinopteri; Salmoniformes; Salmonidae
Source: Ensembl